AUGGACAAUGGACCUAUACAUCACAUCGAUCUUGUGUUGAUAGACAAAGAGGGUAAUGGUAUAAGUGCUGAAAUCCCAGGAAAUCUAGCUGAAGAGAAAGGAUCUAUCAUCAAAGAAAAUGAAAUAUAUGAGAUCAGUAGAUUCACAAUAUCUUCAGCAAGACAAAUGUUCAAACCUGUUCAUAUAGACAAAAUGAUCCACUUCACAUAUCACACAAUUAUUAAGGCAUCACUUGAUUCUCCGUCAACAUUUCCUAGAUAUGUCUAUCAUCUGACUCCAUUGCAUCAAAUCGAAUCCUAUAUUCAAAAGAAUGAAUACUUCCUUGAUGUGCUCGGAGUUAUCACUCAAGUGAGUGCAUUAAAACCAGUUCGGACACAGACCCAGGAAAGCUCAAAUGUCAUAAAAGAGAUCAUCAUAAAAGAUAUCAAUGAUGUCACAAUGAGACUAACCCUAUGGGCAGAACGAGCUAAAGCUUUUAAAUUAGAUGAUGUUUACAAUCCUCUAGAGCAAAAGCCAAUCGUCACACUCUUUGUAGGUUGUUUAGCCAAAAAUUUCCAAGGUGCAUACUUAAAUGGUGGAACAACAUGUAGAUGGUAUUUCAAUCCUGAUAUUAAGGAAGCCGCUCCGUAUUAUCAAAGGUUUGGAUCUCAAAAAAUAAAACUACAAAUACCAUCAGAGCAGGAACAACAACUAUCUGUUGCAAAAGAAACACAUGUAGAACACAAAACCUUGCAUGAGCUUCUUACGUUGGAUCCAUAUGCAUUUCCGCUUGCACCAAAUGCAGUCGAGCAUGUAGACCACAAGAUGUUGGUUACUAUUGAUCCUACUGUAAAUCAGAAGCGUACACACUAA
RNA transcript from Zea mays, 852 nucleotides. It is a transcript of the gene named replication factor a superfamily protein pseudogene, with no coding region annotated. The record is from RefSeq and is marked validated. Lineage: Eukaryota; Viridiplantae; Streptophyta; Magnoliopsida; Poales; Poaceae. The transcript is spliced from 7 exons.